RNAcentral lists this ribosomal RNA (253 nucleotides) under uncultured bacterium. RNAcentral describes it as "partial 16S ribosomal RNA". It matches the Rfam family "Bacterial small subunit ribosomal RNA", at positions 524 to 776 of the family's 1533-position model. The record is from RNAcentral.
UACAGAGGUCCCAAGCGUUGUUCGGAUUCACUGGGCGUAAAGGGUGCGUAGGCGGUCGGGUAAGUCUGAUGUGAAAUCUCACAGCUUAACUGUGAAACUGCAUUGGAUACUAUCCGGCUAGAGGAAUGGAGGGGAGACUGGAAUACUUGGUGUAGCAGUGAAAUGCGUAGAUAUCAAGUGGAACACCAGUGGCGAAGGCGAGUCUCUGGACAUUUCCUGACGCUGAGGCACGAAGGCGUGGGGAGCAAACAGG